UGCGCAAGGCUUGAAUGGAGUCGGGUUUGGAGGAUUAGAAGGUCGGGAAGGGAAGGACUCGCAGGCAUAUUUACGAACGCAAAGUUGCUAGGAGUUGGUACCAGCGUUUGGGAGGUAGAGGUGGCGCUCAUGCGUAUUUGAGACAACAUCUGGAUGGUUGGGGAGAACGGUGAUGCCACACUCAAUCAGAAACUAUGCUACUGUUGAAGAGGCAUAUUGAGCUCUGCCUGGUUAACCUCCAGUGAGGUUGUUAGAGAAUUGGGAGAGGCUCAAAUCAGCAUCCUGCACCUAGUUAUCAAACAAUUGUGAAGUCUUGCAAGUUCAUCAGAGGGCGAGGAUGAAUUACGGUUGCUAUGAAUGUCCUUGUGAGGCAGUUGGGAAGCCUUGGCUGGAUUGUGAAGGAUAUUUGAAAAGUAUUUUAGACUCCACCAGAUCAUCCAUGUGAGUGACCAUGCAGCAAAAGAAGGAGGGUCCUCUCAGUGAUUAAGGUAACAUAGUGAUUAAGGAUUAUGAAGUAUUAAUUCUUCCACUGAUAUCUCAAAAGGUGAUCUGGACAAAGGAACAGGUAUCUCAG
Molecule: long non-coding RNA, 574 nt
Filed under: Pongo abelii (Sumatran orangutan)
Lineage: Eukaryota; Metazoa; Chordata; Mammalia; Primates; Hominidae
Description: lincRNA
Source: RNAcentral